RNAcentral lists this ribosomal RNA (253 nucleotides) under uncultured bacterium. RNAcentral's name for it is "partial 16S ribosomal RNA". It matches the Rfam family "Bacterial small subunit ribosomal RNA", at positions 524 to 776 of the family's 1533-position model. The record is from RNAcentral.
UACGUAGGGGGCAAGCGUUGUCCGGAAUUAUUGGGCGUAAAGCGCGCGCAGGCGGUCCUUUAAGUCUGAUGUGAAAGCCCACGGCUUAACCGUGGAGGGUCAUUGGAAACUGGAGGACUUGAGUACAGAAGAGGAGAGUGGAAUUCCAUGUGUAGCGGUGAAAUGCGUAGAUAUAUGGAGGAACACCAGUGGCGAAGGCGACUCUCUGGUCUGUUACUGACGCUGAGGCGCGAAAGCGUGGGGAGCAAACAGG